This 253-nucleotide ribosomal RNA is filed under the name uncultured bacterium. RNAcentral's name for it is "partial 16S ribosomal RNA". It matches the Rfam family "Bacterial small subunit ribosomal RNA", at positions 524 to 776 of the family's 1533-position model. The record is from RNAcentral.
GACGAACCGAGCGAACGUUGUUCGGAAUCACUGGGCUUAAAGGGCGCGUAGGCGGGCUGUCAAGUCUGGGGUGAAAUCCCGCGGCUCAACCGUGGAACUGCCUUAGAUACUGACGGCCUCGAGGGAGGUAGGGGCAUGCGGAACUGAUGGUGGAGCGGUGAAAUGCGUUGAUAUCAUCAGGAACUCCGGUGGCGAAGGCGGCGUGCUGGACCUCUUCUGACGCUGAGGCGCGAAAGCUAGGGGAGCAAACAGG